RNAcentral lists this transfer RNA (96 nucleotides) under Chloroflexota bacterium. Its description in RNAcentral is "tRNA-Sec". It matches the Rfam family "Selenocysteine transfer RNA". Lineage: Bacteria; Bacillati; Chloroflexota. The record is from RNAcentral.
GGAGGUGUAGGGGUCCCGGUGGGCUCCGCAGUCUUCAAAACUGUCCGAGGGGGCGUACGUGCGUUCCCUGGUGGGUUCGACUCCCAUACACCUCCG